Molecule: ribosomal RNA, 354 nt
Filed under: Triticum aestivum (bread wheat)
Lineage: Eukaryota; Viridiplantae; Streptophyta; Magnoliopsida; Poales; Poaceae
Description: partial small subunit ribosomal RNA
Source: RNAcentral
AUGGGGAUCCUGUUCAUCGCGAGGGGUGUGGCGUAUCGCAAAACGGGACUCCAUGGGCUACUGUUCAUCUCCACCGUCGACCUCCUCCAGCCUCCGCGGGCUACUGUUCAUCCACCGUCGACCUCCUCCAGCCUCCACCUGCGACUGUUCAUCCACGGGCUCCUGUUCAUCCAGCCUCCACCACUCCUCCACCGGCUACUGUUCAACCAGCCGUCUCCAUGGGGUCCUAUUCAACCAUCCCUCCACGGGCUACUGUUUAUCCAGCCCUCCACCAGCUACUGUUCAACCAGCCCUCCACGGGGUCGUCCCGUUCAUACAACCCUCCACGGGGUCCUAUUCAUCCACCCCAACUAG